Molecule: long non-coding RNA, 783 nt
Organism: Solenopsis invicta (red fire ant)
Lineage: Eukaryota; Metazoa; Arthropoda; Insecta; Hymenoptera; Formicidae
Exons: 2
Source: RefSeq, a predicted model, not a curated record
UUUCAAUCUUUUUGAAUCAUAUCGAAGGAUAUUGAAUGAUAUCGAGAUAUUAUCAUAAUUUUUACAGAUCGAAACAAGAUACUGACAUAAACAUGAUAUGUAUUAAAAGUCACAUCCAGAUAAUUUUAUGUCCUGCUUUAAUGUGUAUAUAUGUAUAUAUAUAUAUAUAUAUAUAUAUAUAUAUAUAUAUAUAUAAUCACUGUUAAGUAUAUUACAAAAAAUAAAAUUACUAGAACGUAUUAUAUUCUUUGCCUAUAAUUUCAGUAAUUUUAUUCUUUAUUUAGAUAUAAUUUUAGUGUAUUUAGAUAUCAUACUUUGUUUAAAUAUUUAUUAUUUCUUACAAUGUCGCGCGAUGUAUCGAUCGAUUCAAGUGAUAUUGAACGCGUAGCUUCGAACAACGAAACGACUGGUACCGUUGCUAACAAUACGACAAAUUCCGCAACGCAAUUGCAGAUAAUUGCGGCUCAAAACUCUUACGUCGAGACGUGCCACCAGGAAUAAACCGGUUGAAUUUUCCGGGACAUCGCUUACCUCAUAGUAUAAGAGGCGACAGCUGUUGCUAGAUCAGAUGCCGUAAGAGCGGAUAACGAUCCAUCAAAAUCAGCGGCAAGGUGCUCCGCGAGUUCCUCCACUUGCGUGGACCAGCCUUGGCCGGAGCCAUUGCUUCCGAUGGAUCCUGAAACACAAGCCAAACAAAUCGUACAAAUCAUUCGUUUCUUCUUUCAUUAUAUAUUUUCCUUUUAUUUUAAGCUGGAAUUUUACGAUUUCUUCAAUGAUUAGCUU